RNAcentral lists this ribosomal RNA (253 nucleotides) under uncultured bacterium. RNAcentral's name for it is "partial 16S ribosomal RNA". It matches the Rfam family "Bacterial small subunit ribosomal RNA", at positions 524 to 776 of the family's 1533-position model. The record is from RNAcentral.
UACGGGGGGAGCAAGCGUUGUUCGGAAUUAUUGGGCGUAAAGAGCUCGUAGGCGGUUUGUCGCGUCUGCUGUGAAAACUGGAGGCUCAACCUCCAGCCUGCAGUGGGUACGGGCAGACUAGAGUGCGGUAGGGGAGAUUGGAAUUCCUGGUGUAGCGGUGGAAUGCGCAGAUAUCAGGAGGAACACCAAUGGCGAAGGCAGAUCUCUGGGCCGUAACUGACGCUGAGGAGCGAAAGCAUGGGGAGCGAACAGG